UUCUUAUCAAGAGAGACGGAGGGAAUUGGCCCGAUGAUGUCUCAGCAACCAGUCUGAGAAAGACACGGUGCUAAAUCCAAAAGGUAUCCGCCUUAAAGAUAAGAA
This 105-nucleotide non-coding RNA is filed under the name Terribacillus aidingensis. RNAcentral's name for it is "SAM-I sequence". It matches the Rfam family "SAM riboswitch aptamer (S box leader)". From Rfam's summary of the family: The SAM riboswitch is found upstream of a number of genes which code for proteins involved in methionine or cysteine biosynthesis in Gram-positive bacteria. Lineage: Bacteria; Bacillati; Bacillota; Bacilli; Caryophanales; Bacillaceae. The record is from Rfam by way of RNAcentral.